GGGGGGGGGGGGGGGGGGGGGGGGGGGUGGUCAUUAUCAAAAAUUGCCACUUCCAUAUAGUAUUCACAUUUACCCCCCUCCCCCCCCCCUCAUCCCCUACAUCUGGGAA
Paramuricea clavata is the source of this 109-nucleotide non-coding RNA. The record is from the annotation of a GenBank genome assembly. NCBI's taxonomy places the organism in Eukaryota, Metazoa, Cnidaria, Anthozoa, Malacalcyonacea, Plexauridae.